This 469-nucleotide ribosomal RNA is filed under the name uncultured bacterium. Its description in RNAcentral is "partial 16S ribosomal RNA". It matches the Rfam family "Bacterial small subunit ribosomal RNA", at positions 28 to 507 of the family's 1533-position model. The record is from RNAcentral.
GACGAACGCUGGCGGCGUGCUUAACACAUGCAAGUCGAACGGAAAGGCCCUGCUUGCAGGGUGCUCGAGUGGCGAACGGGUGAGUAACACGUGGGUGAUCUGCCCCUUACUUUGGGAUAAGCCUGGGAAACUGGGUCUAAUACUGGAUAGGACCAUGCUGUAGGUGGUGUGGUGGAAAGAUUAGUUUCGGUAAGGGAUGAGCUCGCGGCCUAUCAGCUUGUUGGUGGGGUAAUGGCCUACCAAGGCGUCGACGGGUAGCCGGCCUGAGAGGGUGGACGGCCACGUUGGGACUGAGAUACGGCGCAGACGCCUGCGGGAGGCAGCAGUGGGGAAUAGUGCACAAGGGGCGCAAGCCGGAUGCAGCGACGCCGCGUGGGGGAUGACGGCCUUCGGGUUGUAAACUCCUUUCAGCCAUGACGAAGCCCUUGUGGUGACGGUAGUGGUAGAAGAAGCACCGGCUAACUACGUG